UAACACGUGGGUAACCUGCCCAUCAGAGGGGGAUAACAUUCGGAAACGGAUGCUAAAACCGCAUAGGUCCUUUAACCGCAUGGUUGAAGGAGGAAAAGAGGCGCAAGCUUCUGCUGAUGGAUGGACCCGCGGUGCAUUAGCUAGUUGGUGAGGUAACGGCUCACCAGGGCCGUGAUGCAUAGCCGACCUGAGAGGGUGAUCGGCCACAUUGGGACUGAGACACGGCCCAA
RNAcentral lists this ribosomal RNA (230 nucleotides) under uncultured bacterium. RNAcentral describes it as "partial 16S ribosomal RNA". It matches the Rfam family "Bacterial small subunit ribosomal RNA", at positions 111 to 334 of the family's 1533-position model. The record is from RNAcentral.